RNAcentral lists this transfer RNA (74 nucleotides) under Anatkina illustris. RNAcentral describes it as "partial tRNA-Leu". The record is from RNAcentral. Lineage: Eukaryota; Metazoa; Arthropoda; Insecta; Hemiptera; Cicadellidae.
AAUAUGGCCGAUUAGUGCAAUGAACUUAAGCUUCAUUUAUAAAUAUUAUUUUGUUAGAAAUUUCUUCAUGAUUA